GUGCAGCAGGUCGCGCAACCUCUGCAAUACGCGAAAGCGUGACAGGGCUACCCCGAGUGCCGUCCGCUGAGGAUGGCUUUUCUCCGGUGUAGUAAGCCGGAGGAAUAAGGAGAGGGCAAGUCUGGUGUCAGCCGCCGCGGUAAUACCAGCUCUCCGAGUGGUAGGGACGAUUAUUGGGCCUAAAGCGUCCGUAGCCGGCCAAGCAAGUUUUCCGUUAAAUCCAGCGAUCCAAUCGUUGGACUGCGGGAGAUACUGUUUGGCUAGGGGGCGAGAGAGGCCAACGGUAUUCCCGGGGUAGGGGUGAAAUCCCAUAAUCCCGGGAGGACCACCAGUGGCGAAGGCUGUUGGCUAGAACGCGCUCGACGGUGAGGGACGAAAGCUGGGGGAGCGAACCGGAUUAGAUACCCCCGUAGUCC
This 416-nucleotide ribosomal RNA is filed under the name uncultured crenarchaeote. RNAcentral's name for it is "partial 16S ribosomal RNA". It matches the Rfam family "Archaeal small subunit ribosomal RNA", at positions 330 to 747 of the family's 1478-position model. The record is from RNAcentral. Lineage: Archaea; Thermoproteati; Thermoproteota.